This 236-nucleotide ribosomal RNA is filed under the name uncultured bacterium. RNAcentral's name for it is "partial 16S ribosomal RNA". It matches the Rfam family "Bacterial small subunit ribosomal RNA", at positions 100 to 334 of the family's 1533-position model. The record is from RNAcentral.
CGGGACGGGUGAGUAACGCGUGGAUAACCUGCCUCACACUGGGGGAUAACAGUUAGAAAUGGCUGCUAAUACCGCAUAAGCGCACAGUACCGCAUGGUACGGUGUGAAAAACCCAGGUGGUGUGAGAUGGAUCCGCGUCUGAUUAGCCAGUUGGCGGGGUAACGGCCCACCAAAGCGACGAUCAGUAGCCGACCUGAGAGGGUGACCGGCCACAUUGGGACUGAGACACGGCCCAA